RNAcentral lists this long non-coding RNA (1114 nucleotides) under Homo sapiens (human). Its description in RNAcentral is "HSALNT0187788". The record is from RNAcentral. Lineage: Eukaryota; Metazoa; Chordata; Mammalia; Primates; Hominidae.
AGCAAGAUAGCAGAAGCGGGAAGAGAGCCGGCGGGAAGACACCUACCCUGGCCGGAAGACAGCUACCCUGGCUGGAAAACACGUACCCCUGAAGAUCUGAAGAUCGAGAAAGACGCCGUGCGGGUACUAUGUAGCAGUCAGGUCAAGGAGCAUCUGUAGCUGCUUGGAUCUACAUUAACCUCAUUUAUCUAUACCCUACCUAUGUGAGUCUUGGAAACUUGUCUCAUAUAAACAAUGAGCUAGCCUAAAAAAGGGGACUUUGACAAUUGCUUCAUCGGUCUUUGUCACUCUGGAAAUAUCAGCAUCUGCAUGUUGAAAAAGGUCUCAUUAUAUUAGCUUUCCAUAAGCUGUCACCUGAUUAUAAGACCUCUUUUGCACCUUCCCAGAACUUUCCUGCUAUGUUUAUCUGAGUUUUGUGGUAACAUACGAGACUUACCUUUGAAUGUAUAAAACUGGCUAGUUUUACAUGAUCUGAACUUGAGAAGCGGUUUCUUAGGUUUCAAGACAACAUGCUAAAUACAUAGGACCAUCUACUGGCAAAGGAUGAUAUAGUCCUAAGGACUGGUUUUGUUGGAACUUGUAAUAGCCCAAGUUAAAGAUCAUGAAGAUUGUGAAGCCCAAAAGUGUAUUAUUGAGGGAAUCCUGCUGCCAGAAUAUGCUUAUCACUUAAAUUGCAACAGAGUGGUCUUAGAUAGAAAAUACAAGAGCUGAGAAGAUACUACAAAACAAGUAAGUCAUUUAUAUGGAGUCACAACAUCUAACUGGCAUACAUUUGUUUAAUAUUGAUAUAGUAAAAUAUUUCAUGAGGGCUCUGACAAGGACUGUCUUGUUAAUCUCUGAAUCCCUAGCAUAGCAACUGGUACAUGGAAGUGUCAACAAGUAUUUACUGAAUCAGUGAAUGAAUAAUGACACAUUUUGUUUAUACCCUACAAAGAUUUGGUGAAGUCUGUAAAUGCAAUGAUUUGUGCCUACUUGGUAAGUACUAAUAAUAAAUCCAGCUGUUGACUUUUUGUCUGACUGAGGGCAUUCAUUUUCCUAAUUUUCAAUGGUCACAAGCAUCUUCGGACAGGGACCAAAUUUUAUUUAGUAAUAGAACUUAGCACAGUGCCUGGCA